RNAcentral lists this long non-coding RNA (256 nucleotides) under Medicago truncatula (barrel medic). RNAcentral's name for it is "long non-coding RNA (MTRU_LNC004271)". The record is from RNAcentral. Lineage: Eukaryota; Viridiplantae; Streptophyta; Magnoliopsida; Fabales; Fabaceae.
AAAUGAGAUAAAACUUAUUGUUAGAGCUAGAAAAACAAGCUUGAAAUUUCUAUUUUAUACUCUAGUUUUCCAAGUUUACAGAAGCUAACACUAAUAGCACCAUUUUACCACACACUUUGGAGUCAGUUCUAAAAUAUUUUAAGAAUUUCAGAAACAGAUAUAGUAUAGCAACAUUGAGUAUAGAAAAAUUCAUCAAACUUUAUGCUAAAUUGAUGAGCAUUGAUAGUAACAAGGCGUGACAACAAAAGACAGAAAC